This 439-nucleotide ribosomal RNA is filed under the name uncultured bacterium. RNAcentral describes it as "partial 16S ribosomal RNA". It matches the Rfam family "Bacterial small subunit ribosomal RNA", at positions 339 to 795 of the family's 1533-position model. The record is from RNAcentral.
CUACGGGUGGCUCCAGUGGGGAAUAUUGGACAAUGGGCGCAAGCCUGAUCCAGCAAUGCCGCGUGAGUGAAGACGGCCUUAGGGUUGUAAAACUCUUUCGCUAGGGAAGAUAAUGACUGUACCUAGUAAAGAAGUCCCGGCUAACUCCGUGCCAGCAGCCGCGGUAAUACGGAGGGGACUAGCGUUGUUCGGAAUUACUGGGCGUAAAGAGUUCGUAGGCGGACUGACAAGUUAGAGGUGAAAUCCCAGGGCUCAACCCUGGAACUGCCUUUAAAACUGUCAGUCUAGAGACCGGAAGAGGUUAGGGGCAUACCUAGUGUAGAGGUGAAAUUCGUAGAUAUUAGGUGGAACACCAGUGGCGAAGGCGCCUAACUGGGCCGGUACUGACGCUGAGGAACGAAAGCGUGGGGAGCAAACAGGAUUAGAUACCCUCGUAGUC